GAUGAACGCUAGCUACAGGCUUAACACAUGCAAGUCGAGGGGUAACGAGAGGAAAGCUUGCUUUCCUUGUCGACGACCGGCGCACGGGUGAGUAACGCGUAUCCAACCUGCCCCCAACUAGGGAAUAACCUUGCGAAAGUAAGACUAAUACCCUAUAAUUUCCUCAGAUGUCAUCUGACGAGGAAUAAAGAUUUAUCGGUUGUGGAUGGGGAUGCGUCUGAUUAGCUUGUUGGCGGGGGAACGGCCCACCAAGGCAACGAUCAGUAGGGGUUCUGAGAGGAAGGUCCCCCACAUUGGAACUGAGACACGGUCCAAACUCCUACGGGAGGCAGCAGUGAGGAAUAUUGGUCAAUGGGCGGAAGCCUGAACCAGCCAAGUAGCGUGCAGGAUGACGGCCCUAUGGGUUGUAAACUGCUUUUAUACAGGAGUAAAGUUAGCCACGUGUGGUUAUUUGUAGGUACUGUAUGAAUAAGGACCGGCUAAUUCCGUGCCAGCCGCCGCUGUAC
RNAcentral lists this ribosomal RNA (506 nucleotides) under uncultured bacterium. RNAcentral describes it as "partial 16S ribosomal RNA". It matches the Rfam family "Bacterial small subunit ribosomal RNA", at positions 28 to 523 of the family's 1533-position model. The record is from RNAcentral.